UUAAAUUCUCUAUGCUUUUAUUUGCGUAAAGCUGACCAAUUACUGAGUAAAAGCAAUUGCUCAUAAUUAUUCACGCGGAUUAGUAUUACCCUAGUAUCAGAUGUUGCACUACAAAUAAAAUAAUGAUCAUGAUAUAUUAACAUUAUUUACAUCAAACAUUACCCAUUGAAUUUUAAUGUUUAAAUUAUUUUAAUGUUUAAUGUUUAAAUAUUUUUUUUCCACCAAGCCAAAGCUGGUUUAAGAAACUUAAAACCUAGGUUAGUUGAAGAAACUUAAAACAUAAUUAUGGUAACUGAAGAAUGAUUGAUAUUGAUAAAAAAAAAAACUGAUAAAAGUGUUGGUUUGUUAGAAAAGGAAGUAUAUAAAAUUAUGUAUGCUCCAAACUUUCUGCAACUGUGAUAAUAAAACUCCAUUCCAUAGAGUUUGUUUGUGACGAUUAAUGUGCCACCACAUAAAUGUAGAAAAUAUUAAUAAAUCUAUGGCAGUAAACGUUAUGUUGACACAAAAAUGCCAAAUCUCAAGUUAAAUGGUUUAUCUAAAUCUGGAUGCAAACACUAAAGUAGACAAUAGCGUUUCAAAUUAAAGCAGAAAUUUAUAACGAAUCAUGUUGACGAUUGGACAUGAAUCGCAGAAAAGCACCAUUGUCGAACGGUUAUGAAUCAAAUCUUUGUAUUAUAAUUGCGUAAAUAUAUUUUAAAAUUUAAA
Hydra vulgaris (swiftwater hydra) is the source of this 705-nucleotide long non-coding RNA. RefSeq lists it as uncharacterized. NCBI's taxonomy places the organism in Eukaryota, Metazoa, Cnidaria, Hydrozoa, Anthoathecata, Hydridae. The record is from RefSeq and is a predicted model, not a curated record.